This 497-nucleotide ribosomal RNA is filed under the name uncultured bacterium. RNAcentral's name for it is "partial 16S ribosomal RNA". It matches the Rfam family "Bacterial small subunit ribosomal RNA", at positions 28 to 507 of the family's 1533-position model. The record is from RNAcentral.
GAUGAACGCUGGCGGCGUGCCUAAUACAUGCAAGUCGAGCGAACAGACGAGGAGCUUGCUCCUUCGACGUUAGCGGCGGACGGGUGAGUAACACGUAGGUAACCUACCUAUAAGACUGGGAUAACUUCGGGAAACCGGAGCUAAUACCGGAUAAUAUUUCGAACCGCAUGGUUCGAUAGUGAAAGAUGGCUUUGCUAUCACUUAUAGAUGGACCUGCGCCGUAUUAGCUAGUUGGUAAGGUAACGGCUUACCAAGGCAACGAUACGUAGCCGACCUGAGAGGGUGAUCGGCCACACUGGAACUGAGACACGGUCCAGACUCCUACGGGAGGCAGCAGUAGGGAAUCUUCAGCAAUGGGCGAAAGCCUGACGGAGCAACGCCGCGUGAGUGAUGAAGGUCUUCGGAUCGUAAAACUCUGUUAUUAGGGAAGAACAAACGUGUAAGUAACUGUGCACGUCUUGACGGUACCUAAUCAGAAAGCCACGGCUAACUACGUG